This is a long non-coding RNA of Sander lucioperca (pikeperch), 417 nucleotides long. RefSeq lists it as uncharacterized. The record is from RefSeq and is a predicted model, not a curated record. The transcript is spliced from 3 exons. NCBI's taxonomy places the organism in Eukaryota, Metazoa, Chordata, Actinopteri, Perciformes, Percidae.
AGUGUAUGUGGACUGUCCUGCUGGCUCUCUGUCCUUCUACACAGUCUCCUCUGACUCACUGAUCCACCUCUACACCUUCAACACCACAUUCACUCAACCUCUUUAUCCUGGGUUUGGGUUCUGGUCUCCUGGUGCUUCAGUGUCUCUGUGUUCUGUGUAGGACAGAGAGUCUCCUCCUGUUUCUCACUGCUGAUCAGUUGAGUCCGUACAGGAUCACACUUACAGAAAUAUUUCAGGUUAUUGUUAUGAACUAAUGAAUGAACUUUGUAUAAAAUAAUUCGGAAUGAUUGAACAGAUUCCUCGUGAACAUUGUAAACUUCUUUCAGUUCCAGUCCUUUAAAGAUGGAAGCUGUGAUCAUGAAAUUGUAUAAAUGCCGUUGACUUGUGUCAUGUUUUGUUGCUCUUCUUGACGUAAUU